RNAcentral lists this ribosomal RNA (1399 nucleotides) under Aristocypha fenestrella. Its description in RNAcentral is "eukaryotic LSU rRNA". It matches the Rfam family "Eukaryotic large subunit ribosomal RNA", at positions 597 to 1722 of the family's 3401-position model. Lineage: Eukaryota; Metazoa; Arthropoda; Insecta; Odonata; Chlorocyphidae. The record is from RNAcentral.
ACGAAACGAGAAGUCGACUCGCCUAUCGGCGUCCGGCCCUCCGCGAGCACCCGAGGGGGUUCGGGCCUCGGACCCGGUCCGAUCCCGUCCCUUCUUCGGGGCUGUCCGCGAAUGGAGGUGUCCUCGGACGGAGUCGAAAGAUUCUCCGGUCCGCGACGCUACGGCUUGGAUGGUCCACCCGACCCGUCUUGAAACACGGACCAAGGAGUCUAACAUGCGCGCGAGUCGUUGGGUCGGAAACGCUCCGCUAAACCCAUAGGCGAAAUGAAAGUGAAGGCCACCGUACGGGCGGCCGAGGGAGGACGGGGCCGCUGACGCGGUCCCCGCACCCCCGGGGCGUCUGAUCCCUCAUCGCGAGGGGAGGCGCACCCAGAGCGCACACGUUGGGACCCGAAAGAUGGUGAACUAUGCCUGGCCAGGACGAAGUCAGGGGAAACCCUGAUGGAGGUCCGUAGCGAUUCUGACGUGCAAAUCGAUCGUCGGAGCUGGGUAUAGGGGCGAAAGACUAAUCGAACCAUCUAGUAGCUGGUUCCCUCCGAAGUUUCCCUCAGGAUAGCUUGCGCUCGGAGGAGAGUCUCAUCCGGUAAAGCGAAUGAUUAGAGGCCUUGGGGCCGAAACGGCUUCAACCUAUUCUCAAACUUUAAAUGGGUGAGAACUCCGGCUUGCUCGAUUACUCGAAGCCGGAGACGGGGACACGUCCCCCGGGAUCGGAGUGCACAGUGGGCCACUUUUGGUAAGCAGAACUGGCGCUGUGGGAUGAACCAAACGACGGGUUAAGGCGCCCGAAUCGACGCUCAUGGGAAACCAUGAAAGGUGUUGGUUGCUUAAGACAGCAGGACGGUGGCCAUGGAAGUCGGAAUCCGCUAAGGAGUGUGUAAUAACUCACCUGCCGAAGCAACUAGCCCUGAAAAUGGAUGGCGCUGAAGCGUCGUGCCUAUACCCGGCCGUCGCCGCAAGACGGACCCGGCCCCGCGCCGGGUGCCGCCUGACGCGGCGACGAGUAGGAGGGUCGCGGCGGCGAGCGCAGAAGGGUCUGGGCUCGAGCCUGCCUGGAGCCGCCGCCGGUGCAGAUCUUGGUGGUAGUAGCAAAUACUCCAGCGAGGCCCUGGAGGACUGAUGUGGAGAAGGGUUUCGUGUGAACAGCCGUUGCACACGAGUCAGUCGAUCCUAAGCCCUAGGAGAAAUCCGACGCCAACGGCGACGGGAAAAAACGAAGGAGAGAAUGAAACCCGUUGAUCGGGCGAAAGGGAAUCCGGUUCCUAUUCCGGAACCCGGCAGCGGAACCGCUGUUUGUCGGGCCCUCACAAGGGGUUCGUCAGGGUAACCUAAAAGGGCCCGGAGACGCCGUCGGGAGCCCCGGAAAGAGUUUUCUUUUCUGCAUGAGCGUUCGAGUUCCCUG